CUCCAGCAGACCCUCCCUCCCAGACCCUCCCACCUCCUGGACAGCAUCCAUGUUGAAGCUGCCUUCAACAUGGAUGCUGUCCAGGAGGUGGGAGGGUCUGGGAGGGAGGGUCUGCUGGAG
Molecule: non-coding RNA, 120 nt
Organism: Pelobates cultripes (western spadefoot toad)
Lineage: Eukaryota; Metazoa; Chordata; Amphibia; Anura; Pelobatidae
Source: the annotation of a GenBank genome assembly